GACGAACGCUGGCGGCGUGCCUAAUACAUGUAAGUUGAGCGCUGAAGGUUGGUACUUGUACCGACUGGAUGAGCAGCGAACGGGUGAGUAACGCGUGGGGAAUCUGCCUUUGAGCGGGGGACAACAUUUGGAAACGAAUGCUAAUACCGCAUAAAAACUUUAAACACAAGUUUUAAGUUUGAAAGAUGCAAUUGCAUCACUCAAAGAUGAUCCCGCGUUGUAUUAGCUAGUUGGUGAGGUAAAGGCUCACCAAGGCGAUGAUACAUAGCCGACCUGAGAGGGUGAUCGGCCACAUUGGGACUGAGACACGGCCCAAACUCCUACGGGAGGCAGCAGUAGGGAAUCUUCGGCAAUGGACGAAAGUCUGACCGAGCAACGCCGCGUGAGUGAAGAAGGGUUUCGGAUCGUAAAACUCUGUUGGUAGAGAAGAACGUUGGUGAGAGUGGAAAGCUCAUCAAGUGACGGUAACUACACAGAAAGGGACGGCUAACUACGUG
RNAcentral lists this ribosomal RNA (497 nucleotides) under uncultured bacterium. RNAcentral's name for it is "partial 16S ribosomal RNA". It matches the Rfam family "Bacterial small subunit ribosomal RNA", at positions 28 to 507 of the family's 1533-position model. The record is from RNAcentral.